AGAGUUUGAUCCUGGCUCAGGAUGAACGCUGGCGGCGUGCCUAACACAUGCAAGUCGAGCGAUUCUCUUCGGAGAAGAGCGGCGGACGGGUGAGUAACGCGUGGGUAACCUGCCCUGUACACACGGAUAACAUACCGAAAGGUAUGCUAAUACGGGAUAAUAUAUAAGAGUCGCAUGACUUUUAUAUCAAAGAUUUUUCGGUACAGGAUGGACCCGCGUCUGAUUAGCUUGUUGGCGGGGUAACAGCCCACCAAGGCGACGAUCAGUAGCCGACCUGAGAGGGUGAUCGGCCACAUUGGAACUGAGACACGGCCCAGACUCCUACGGGAGGCAGCAGUGGGGAAUAUUGCACAAUGGGGGAAACCCUGAUGCAGCAACGCCGCGUGAGUGAUGAAGGUUUUCGGAUCGUAAAGCUCUGUCUUUGGGGAAGAUAAUGACGGUACCCAAGGAGGAAGCCACGGCUAACUACGUGCCAGCAGCCGCGGUAAUACGUAGGUGGCGAGCGUUAUCCGGAUUUACUGGGCGUAAAGGGAGCGUAGGCGGAUGAUUAAGUGGGAUGUGAAAUACCCGGGCUCAACUUGGGUGCUGCAUUCCAAACUGGUUAUCUAGAGUGCAGGAGAGGAGAGUGGAAUUCCUAGUGUAGCGGUGAAAUGCGUAGAGAUUAGGAAGAACACCAGUGGCGAAGGCGACUCUCUGGACUGUAACUGACGCUGAGGCUCGAAAGCGUGGGGAGCAAACAGGAUUAGAUACCCUGGUAGUCCACGCCGUAAACGAUGAGCACUAGGUGUCGGGGUCGCAAGACUUCGGUGC
Molecule: ribosomal RNA, 810 nt
Filed under: uncultured bacterium
Lineage: Bacteria
Description: bacterial SSU rRNA
Rfam family: Bacterial small subunit ribosomal RNA
Source: RNAcentral